Non-coding RNA from Acanthosepion pharaonis, 110 nucleotides. NCBI's taxonomy places the organism in Eukaryota, Metazoa, Mollusca, Cephalopoda, Sepiida, Sepiidae. The record is from the annotation of a GenBank genome assembly.
CGGCCACAUCACAUAGAACACCAGUUCUUGUACGAUCACGGAAGUUCAGCAACGUCGAAUCUGUUCAGUACCUGGAUGGGUAACCGUUUAGGAAUACCAGGUGCUGUAAG